UAACUACUCCCCCCGUCCAGAAUUACUUGUCGCAGAAAUGGGUAAAAAUGGAUGUAUCUAGAACUAAAAUACGUCUAGAUACAUCAAUUUAUUUGACAAGUAUUUCCGGACGGAGGGAGUAUAUA
This is a non-coding RNA of Triticum aestivum (bread wheat), 125 nucleotides long. The record is from Rfam. Lineage: Eukaryota; Viridiplantae; Streptophyta; Magnoliopsida; Poales; Poaceae.